AAGAGUUUGAUCCUGGCUCAGGAUUAACGCUGGCGGCGCGCCUAAUACAUGCAAGUCGAACGGAAACCUUCGGGUUUUAGUGGCGAACGGGUGAGUAACACGUAAGCAACCUGCCUUUAAGACGUGGAUAACAAUUGGAAACAGUUGCUAAGACAGGAUAGGAAAUUAAGAGGCAUCUUUUAAUUUUUAAAAGACCUUUUUCGAAAGGUAUACUUAAAGAGGGGCUUGCGCCACAUUAGUUAGUUGGUAAGGUAAAGGCUUACCAAGACGAUGAUGUGUAGCUGGACUGAGAGGUCGAACAGCCACAUUGGGACUGAGACACGGCCCAAACUCCUACGGGAGGCAGCAGUAAGGAAUUUUUGGCAAUGGAGGAAACUCUGACCGAGCGACGUCGCGUGAACAAUGAAGUACUUCGGUAUGUAAAGUUCUUUUAUUGAAAAAGAAAAAAUAGUGGAAAAACUAUCUUGACAUUAUUCAAUGAAUAAGCCCCGGCUAAUUAUGUGCCAGCAGCCGCGGUAAUACAUAAGGGGCGAGCGUUAUCCGGAAUUAUUGGGCGUAAAGGGUGCGUAGGCGGUUUGAUAAGUCUAUAGUUUAAAUGCAGUGCUUAACGCUGUAGCGCUAUAGAAACUGUCUGACUAGAGUUAGAUAGAGGCAAGCGGAAUUCCAUGUGUAGCGGUAAAAUGCGUAAAUAUAUGGAGGAACACCAGAGGCGUAGGCGGCUUGCUGGGUCUUAACUGACGCUGAGGCACGAAAGCGUGGGGAGCAAACAGGAUUAGAUACCCUGGUAGUCCACGCCGUAAACGAUGAGUACUAAGUGUCGGGUUUCGGCUCGGUACUGAAGUUAACACAUUAAGUACUCCGCCUGAGUAGUACGUACGCAAGUAUGAAACUUAAAGGAAUUGACGGGACCCCGCACAAGCGGUGGAUCAUGUUGUUUAAUUCGAAGAUACACGAAAAACCUUACCAGGUCUUGACAUAAUUUUGCGACAUUAUAGAAAUAUAAUGAAGGUUAUCAGAAUUACAGGUGGUGCAUGGUUGUCGUCAGCUCGUGUCGUGAGAUGUUAGGUUAAGUCCUAAAACGAGCGCAACCCUUGUCGUUAGUUGCGACCACGUAAUGGUGAGCACUUUAGCGAGACUGCCAAUGAAAAAUUGGAGGAAGGUGAGGAUUACGUCAAAUCAUCAUGCCCCUUAUGAUCUGGGCUACAAACGUGAUACAAUGGCUGUUACAAAGAGUAGCUACAACGUGAGUUUUUAGCCAAUCUCAAAAAAACAGUCUCAGUUCGGAUUGAAGUCUGCAACUCGACUUCAUGAAGUUGGAAUCGCUAGUAAUCGCGAAUCAGCAUGUCGCGGUGAAUACGUUCUCGGGGUUUGUACACACCGCCCGUCAAACCACGAAAGUUGAUAAUACCCGAAAGCGGUCGCCUAACUUCGUCAGAAGAGGGAGCCGUCUAAGGUAGGAUCGAUGAUUGGGGUUAAGUCGUAACAAGGUAUCCCUACCGGAAGGUGGGGAUGGAUCA
Molecule: ribosomal RNA, 1517 nt
Filed under: Hemp witches'-broom phytoplasma
Lineage: Bacteria; Bacillati; Mycoplasmatota; Mollicutes; Acholeplasmatales; Acholeplasmataceae
Description: bacterial SSU rRNA
Rfam family: Bacterial small subunit ribosomal RNA
Source: RNAcentral